RNAcentral lists this ribosomal RNA (517 nucleotides) under Lonsdalea populi. RNAcentral's name for it is "bacterial SSU rRNA". It matches the Rfam family "Bacterial small subunit ribosomal RNA", at positions 1019 to 1533 of the family's 1533-position model. Lineage: Bacteria; Pseudomonadati; Pseudomonadota; Gammaproteobacteria; Enterobacterales; Pectobacteriaceae. The record is from RNAcentral.
UUCGGGAGCUCUGAGACAGGUGCUGCAUGGCUGUCGUCAGCUCGUGUUGUGAAAUGUUGGGUUAAGUCCCGCAACGAGCGCAACCCUUAUCCUUUGUUGCCAGCACGUCAUGGUGGGAACUCAAAGGAGACUGCCGGUGAUAAACCGGAGGAAGGUGGGGAUGACGUCAAGUCAUCAUGGCCCUUACGAGUAGGGCUACACACGUGCUACAAUGGCGCAUACAAAGAGAAGCGAACUUGCGAGAGUAAGCGGACCUCAUAAAGUGCGUCGUAGUCCGGAUUGGAGUCUGCAACUCGACUCCAUGAAGUCGGAAUCGCUAGUAAUCGUAGAUCAGAAUGCUACGGUGAAUACGUUCCCGGGCCUUGUACACACCGCCCGUCACACCAUGGGAGUGGGUUGCAAAAGAAGUAGGUAGCUUAACCUUCGGGAGGGCGCUUACCACUUUGUGAUUCAUGACUGGGGUGAAGUCGUAACAAGGUAACCGUAGGGGAACCUGCGGUUGGAUCACCUCCUUACC